This 1807-nucleotide ribosomal RNA is filed under the name Bacillus altitudinis. RNAcentral describes it as "partial 23S ribosomal RNA". It matches the Rfam family "Bacterial large subunit ribosomal RNA", at positions 1120 to 2925 of the family's 2925-position model. Lineage: Bacteria; Bacillati; Bacillota; Bacilli; Caryophanales; Bacillaceae. The record is from RNAcentral.
CAUUUAAAGAGUGCGUAAUAGCUCACUGGUCGAGUGACUCUGCGCCGAAAAUGUACCGGGGCUAAACGUAUCACCGAAGCUGCGGACUGUUCUUACGAACAGUGGUAGGAGAGCGUUCUAAGUGCUGUGAAGUCAGACCGGAAGGACUGGUGGAGCGCUUAGAAGUGAGAAUGCCGGUAUGAGUAGCGAAAGACGGGUGAGAAUCCCGUCCACCGAAUGCCUAAGGUUUCCUGAGGAAGGCUCGUCCGCUCAGGGUUAGUCGGGACCUAAGCCGAGGCCGAAAGGCGUAGGCGAUGGACAACAGGUUGAUAUUCCUGUACCACCUCCUCACCAUUUGAGCAAUGGGGGGACGCAGGAGGAUAGGGUAAGCGCGGUAUUGGAUAUCCGCGUCCAAGCAGUUAGGCUGGGAAAUAGGCAAAUCCGUUUCCCGUAAAGGCUGAGCUGUGAUGGCGAGCGAAAUUUAGUAGCGAAGUUCCUGAUUCCACACUGCCAAGAAAAGCCUCUAGCGAGGUGAGAGGUGCCCGUACCGCAAACCGACACAGGUAGGCGAGGAGAGAAUCCUAAGGUGAUCGAGAGAACUCUCGUUAAGGAACUCGGCAAAAUGACCCCGUAACUUCGGGAGAAGGGGUGCUUCUUAGGGUGUUAAAGCCCCGAGAAGCCGCAGUGAAUAGGCCCAGGCGACUGUUUAGCAAAAACACAGGUCUCUGCGAAGCCGUAAGGCGAAGUAUAGGGGCUGACGCCUGCCCGGUGCUGGAAGGUUAAGAGGAGCGCUUAGCGUAAGCGAAGGUGCGAAUUGAAGCCCCAGUAAACGGCGGCCGUAACUAUAACGGUCCUAAGGUAGCGAAAUUCCUUGUCGGGUAAGUUCCGACCCGCACGAAAGGCGCAACGAUCUGGGCACUGUCUCAACGAGAGACUCGGUGAAAUUAUAGUACCUGUGAAGAUGCAGGUUACCCGCGACAGGACGGAAAGACCCCGUGGAGCUUUACUGCAGCCUGAUAUUGAAUGUUGGUACAGCUUGUACAGGAUAGGUAGGAGCCUUGGAAACCGGAGCGCUAGCUUCGGUGGAGGCAUCGGUGGGAUACUACCCUGGCUGUAUUGACCUUCUAACCCGCUGCCCUUAUCGGGCAGGGAGACAGUGUCAGGUGGGCAGUUUGACUGGGGCGGUCGCCUCCUAAAAUGUAACGGAGGCGCCCAAAGGUUCCCUCAGAAUGGUUGGAAAUCAUUCGCAGAGUGUAAAGGCACAAGGGAGCUUGACUGCGAGACCUACAAGUCGAGCAGGGACGAAAGUCGGGCUUAGUGAUCCGGUGGUUCCGCAUGGAAGGGCCAUCGCUCAACGGAUAAAAGCUACCCCGGGGAUAACAGGCUUAUCUCCCCCAAGAGUCCACAUCGACGGGGAGGUUUGGCACCUCGAUGUCGGCUCAUCGCAUCCUGGGGCUGUAGUCGGUCCCAAGGGUUGGGCUGUUCGCCCAUUAAAGCGGUACGCGAGCUGGGUUCAGAACGUCGUGAGACAGUUCGGUCCCUAUCCGUCGCGGGCGCAGGAAAUUUGAGAGGAGCUGUCCUUAGUACGAGAGGACCGGGAUGGACGCACCGCUGGUGUACCAGUUGUUCUGCCAAGGGCAUCGCUGGGUAGCUAUGUGCGGACGGGAUAAGUGCUGAAAGCAUCUAAGCAUGAAGCCCCCCUCAAGAUGAGAUUUCCCAUUCCGCAAGGAAGUAAGAUCCCUGAAAGAUGAUCAGGUUGAUAGGUCUGAGGUGGAAGCGUGGUGACACGUGGAGCUGACAGAUACUAAUAGAUCGAGGACUUAACCUA